UUUAAGUUGAGCGUUUGUGUUUUUCUCUUAUUUUUGAGAUAUUGAGAUAAGACGUGGCACGGUACUUGUCUAUCCCAAAUUCAUGUAUUUGGUUUUGAUGUUAUAUUUUUUUAUUCUCGUGGUGUUUUGUCUGAUGCUUGGUCCGUUUCAGUGUGUGUUGCUUACGGUUGUGUCGUUGUUCUCCUCUUAUUUAAUGCAUUCCCUCGGUUUUAGUUUGUUACCCCGAUUUUGUUUUUUGUCCAUGGAUUUGUGAGUUUUGAAAAGCGGUAUACUACUGUUGCCUUUAUUUACUUUACUUUGUAUUUAUUGACUCUAUAAACGUACAGAACAAAAAUAAUCCCUUAAUCUAGGAAAU
This 355-nucleotide long non-coding RNA is filed under the name Mytilus galloprovincialis (Mediterranean mussel). The record is from RNAcentral. Lineage: Eukaryota; Metazoa; Mollusca; Bivalvia; Mytilida; Mytilidae.